Molecule: non-coding RNA, 966 nt
Organism: Arachis ipaensis
Lineage: Eukaryota; Viridiplantae; Streptophyta; Magnoliopsida; Fabales; Fabaceae
Source: RefSeq, a predicted model, not a curated record
CUUAAACAUGUUUACAAAUCAAGUUCAUCAUGUAGAAUAGAAUAAGUAUAUAUAAUAAGAAUAUCAAUAGCAACAUAAUUAAUUAUAAUUAAUAAGAAAACACAAAGUACAAUAGGUUUUUGUCACACCGGGAGAAGGCAAAGAUAUAAUAAUAGAUAAUCACCCAUUAUUUAUAAUGAGGACUAGCACGUACACAUGACCAAAUUAUUAUUACGUAAUAUGCAUGCAAAUAUUUAUUUAGGGUGAAAACUCAGGUGUAGUCGACUUCACGUGAAGUUGAUAGUUGAGAGCCGUUAGAUAAAAAUUUAGUCAAAUUAAUUAAAUCAUUUAACGAUUCUCAGUUAUCAAUUUGAGUUUCCACCUUUAUUUAGUGGCCACAUGGUGAAUACCGUGCCUGCCUUAGGCUUUUCAUUUUAGUUUCUUUCAAAAUAAAAGCGAUGAUCAGGUUGUGGUGGUGGCCAACGCCGCCGUGGCCACCCUGGGUGCGGCACACGCCGACGUGGAUACGGAAGUGAUGGAAGCGGUUCUGGAUACGGACGCGGAUGCCGCGGUGAGGGAAAAAUGAGAUGAUGGUAGCUUGGGUAAAUCAUGUGUAGACUUGGAGGAGAGUCACCGUGGUGGUGGCCAAGUUGACCGUGGCCACCCCGGGUGCGGCACACGCGGACGACGUAGAUACGGAAGUGAUGGAAGCAGACGUGGUCGCGGCGGUUGGGGAAGAAUGGGACGAUGACGGCCAGUAAUAGGAGGGUCUUUUGGGUAAAUCAUGUAUAGACUUGGAGGAGAGUCACCGGUCGUAGCCGCAAGGCGCGGCGGCUGUUGGUGGUUCAGGUCGUACAUAUUUGAUGCUGUUGGGAAUGAAAUGUAGUUCCAGUUGUACAUAUUCAAUAGCUGCGGUUCAGUUGUGUCCGUAAGAUCAUGACGAGCUUCUAGCUUGAAGCUCAUGGUGUUCAACAAUGUUACAACAAU